GAUGAACGCUGGCGGCGUGCCUAAUACAUGCAAGUCGAGCGAACGGACGAGAAGCUUGCUUCUCUGAUGUUAGCGGCGGACGGGUGAGUAACACGUGGAUAACCUACCUAUAAGACUGGGAUAACUUCGGGAAACCGGAGCUAAUACCGGAUAAUAUUUUGAACCGCAUGGUUCAAAAGUGAAAGACGGUCUUGCUGUCACUUAUAGAUGGAUCCGCGCUGCAUUAGCUAGUUGGUAAGGUAACGGCUUACCAAGGCAACGAUGCAUAGCCGACCUGAGAGGGUGAUCGGCCACACUGGAACUGAGACACGGUCCAGACUCCUACGGGAGGCAGCAGUAGGGAAUAUUCCGCAAUGGGCGAAAGCCUGACGGAGCAACGCCGCGUGAGUGAUGAAGGUCUUCGGAUCGUAAAACUCUGUUAGUAGGGAAGAACAUAUGUGUAAGUAACUGUGCACAUCUUGACGGUACCUAAUCAGAAAGCCACGGCUAACUACGUG
This 497-nucleotide ribosomal RNA is filed under the name uncultured bacterium. RNAcentral's name for it is "partial 16S ribosomal RNA". It matches the Rfam family "Bacterial small subunit ribosomal RNA", at positions 28 to 507 of the family's 1533-position model. The record is from RNAcentral.